GAUGAACGCUGGCGGCGUGCCUAAUACAUGCAAGUCGAGCGAAAAGAUGCGGAGUUUGUUGCUUUGACGUUAGCGGAGGACGGGAGAGUAACACGUGGAUAAUCUACCUAUAUGACUGGGAUAACUUCGGGAAAGCGGAGAUAAUACCGGAUAAUAUAUUGCACCGCAUUGUUGAAUAGUGAAAGUCGGUUUUGCUGUAUGUAAUCGAUGGAUCCGCGCCGGAUUAGCUAGUUGGUACGGUAACGGCUUAUCACGGGAACGAGGCGUAGGCGACGGGAGAGGGGGGUCGCCCGCACGGGAACUGGGACACGGUCCAGGCUCCUACGGUAGGCAGCAGAAGGGAACGUUACGCAGUAGGCGGAAGCCUUACGGAGCAACGCGGCGUGAGUGAUGGAGGUCUUCGGUGCGUAAAGCUGUGUUAUUAGGGGAGAACAAAUGUGGAAUUAACUGUGCACUUCGUGACGGUACCUAGUCAGAAAGCCACGGCUAACUACGUG
RNAcentral lists this ribosomal RNA (497 nucleotides) under uncultured bacterium. RNAcentral describes it as "partial 16S ribosomal RNA". It matches the Rfam family "Bacterial small subunit ribosomal RNA", at positions 28 to 507 of the family's 1533-position model. The record is from RNAcentral.